CACUAUGCCAGGCACUGGGGAUCCUGAGAUGAAAGUGGCACAUUUGUGCUCAGGGAAAAGCUCUCAGCUUUUCCCUGGAAGACAAACUUAUAAAAAGGAAAAUCUCAACCCGCCUCUGGCAAAUACUCUUUUAAGUAAAAGCAGAAAAAAUCUCCAGGGCACAGAGCAUAGCACAACUAGUUCUGCCUUCGGACCCUGUGAAGACUGCAUAAAAAAAUAAAGAAGUAAAUCAGAGUGUGCAAGAGAACCAACAGCGGACCACCCACAGUGAAGCUGACACUGUGCUGAAGUCUUAAGAUCACUGUCUUCAUUCUCUUCAGUAACCCUGCACCACCACUAUAGCCAUCUGCACCAGGAGAUGACGUGGCCAAGGCACGUGCCUUGGUGGACAUAUUCUGUGCCACUUACACUUUCAACCUCCAGGACGGGGAACUACAUAUACCUCUUUUUUCAUAAGCACCUUGUGUCAGUUGCUGCAGCUUCUUCACUACUUUGCUGCCUUUUGCC
This is a long non-coding RNA of Chinchilla lanigera (long-tailed chinchilla), 507 nucleotides long. RefSeq lists it as uncharacterized. The record is from RefSeq and is a predicted model, not a curated record. The transcript is spliced from 3 exons. Lineage: Eukaryota; Metazoa; Chordata; Mammalia; Rodentia; Chinchillidae.